Molecule: ribosomal RNA, 230 nt
Filed under: uncultured bacterium
Lineage: Bacteria
Description: partial 16S ribosomal RNA
Rfam family: Bacterial small subunit ribosomal RNA
Source: RNAcentral
AGAAUCUGCCCUGUACUGGGGGACAACAGAGGGAAACUUCUGCUAAUACCCCAUAUGAGCGUACCUGCGAUGGUAUUCUUGAAAGUUCCGGCGGUACAGGAUGAGUCUGCAUCUGAUUAGCUAGUUGGUGGUGUAAUGGACUACCAAGGCGACGAUCAGUAGCUGGUUUGAGAGGAUGAUCAGCCACAAUGGGACUGAGACACGGCCCAUACUCCUACGGAAGGCAGCAG